RNAcentral lists this ribosomal RNA (253 nucleotides) under uncultured bacterium. RNAcentral's name for it is "partial 16S ribosomal RNA". It matches the Rfam family "Bacterial small subunit ribosomal RNA", at positions 524 to 776 of the family's 1533-position model. The record is from RNAcentral.
UACAGAGGGUGCAAGCGUUGUCCGGAAUCACUGGGCGUAAAGGGCGCGUAGGCGGCCCGAUAAGUAGGGGGUGAAAUCUUGCGGCUCAACCGCAAGGCUGCCUUCUAGACUGUCGGGCUUGAGCACAGUAGAGGCAGGUGGAAUUCCCGGUGUAGCGGUGGAAUGCGUAGAGAUCGGGAAGAACAUCGGUGGCGAAGGCGGCCUGCUGGGCUGUUCUUGACGCUGAGGCGCGAAAGCUAGGGGAGCAAACGGG